UGUGUUGGAUUCAUGGUUUAAUGUUCCCAUCUUCCCUAUGUCACAAGAAUUUGGUGUAUGCUAGAUGAUUGAAACAGGUGAUAUUUAUGGUUAAUUUAAUGUUCCCGUCUUUCCUAUGUCUUAAGAAUCUGGUGUCAGCAUGAUUGAAACUGGUGAUAUUGUUUAUUUCUUGCAACUUAUCAAUGGUUCAGCAACUUCCCUUUUUUUCAAAAAAUGUUCUUUUCAGAAGUCUUAAAUACUUUAAUUAUCACUUAUUUUGUAGUGAAGAUAAUUAUCAUUUUGGACAAGCACAUGAUGCAUGAUGUUCCGUACUAGUUAUAAAAAGUAAAAUCUAUGAGGACAAUAAUGCAUAUUAAUCACCAGAAUUAUUACUUUGUAAGUUAAAGUUUAAAUUAGGUGGAGUAUGAGAUCAAGAAAUGCAGAUAAACUUAUGGAUUAUUGUACUAUAAUUUUCAGUAUUGUAUUUUGUGUUGAAUCAUAUGGUGGCCUCAAGUUAUUCUUGAUGCUUUUCUCUAUCUCUACUAUAUGGAUGUUAUGCAAUUUUUUCAUACUGUGGAAGGAAAAAUUGUAUUGCAUCAUGCUAUGCUUUAACUUGCAUCACAAUGUAUAUUCAAUUAGAAGUACAUCAAGAUUUGCUAUACCGGUGUGUAUCGUUGUGUAUCGGAUGUAAUGUACCGUACCGUUACCGAACUGAGGCUCGAUAUGGGGGGCGUAUUGAGUCUUGGUAUACUGAACCGAUCCUCGUACCGGGCAUACCGACAUUGUACCAGCAUGGCAACUGGUACGACACUGGUACCAAAAUGGCGAACCUUUAAGUGCAUUGUUUUGCCUGAUCACAACUAAUGGCCCAAACAUUCAAAUGCAUCAUUUAACCUCUUAAUUAUGUUGUACAUCAUUUAUCAAUUCUGAUUCAAUUUAAAUGCGAGUUAGUAGCAAAUGUUUGAAUGAUUCAAUUUAAGGUAAUGCUCAUGGACGGUGGGAUUGGAUUUUUGGGAUGGCAACAUUGGGAGCUUGUGAUGUCGGAUAUCACUAUCAUUCCUAAAGCUUGUAAUAGUGAAAGCAUGAUUUAUGGUUUUCCCUCGAGGGAUAUCAUCGAAGCUUUGGGGUGACAACCAAAAUUUAACUCUAUCAUCUACAGGAUGAACCUAUGCUCUAGUCAACUGCCAUCACUCCAAUAUUAAUAUAAUUGAGAAAUUUAUUGGUAGGAGAUAUAAAAGUUAGUCUUGAAGUUCUAGAGGCUUAGGACAAGAUGAUAAAUGUUUUUUUAGUUACCACUGAUUAUGAAUUUAUGGCUGGUUGAUGUUAAAUGCGGAAUCACCUGGUUAGCAUAGGGACACUUAUGCUGAUAGUUAUUGUUAUUCUCUCUUACUUCUGUUUGAACCUCAGCAUUUGGAAUGUUGUACUUAGAAUCUUGUAGUCCUAAUGUGAGCUUGUGGUGCAUAACUUAACUACUGCUUAUCCUUUAGUUUGUCAUGGAUCCAUGACAUCUAGUGCGGACUUCAUUUUUAUUUAGUCGUAUUAUAUUUAGUCAUGUUAUUAGUUCUUGUGGUUAUUUUAUUGUAUCAGGAGUACUGUAACUUGUUAUUAGCUGCCUCAAGAGUUCUAUUGCUUGUUUUAGUUAUUUGUGUUAUAUGUAAGGCAAAGAGCAGAUUAGUAAUUUGCAUGUUGAUGUGUUGCACUGAAGUUGAUACUGGUCAUUUAUUUCUACUACUAUAUUAGCCUUAUGGACAUAAUUUGGGUAUGUAUAGGCCUGUUAGAGUUCUGUCAAGAAUCUUAAUUAACAACUAAUAUCAGUCAUUUCCAAGCUUUUACCGAAGCGAGAUUUUAUUGAUGACUGAAAAAAAUUGAGAUUCUAAAUUUUAUUUUUGCUAGCUAUUAAUUGCCUCCAGUGAUGUUUAAAAUCUCAAGUGUACCUGGGUUUUCUAGCCUAAAACCAGUGCCUGGCAACCCUUGGGACAAUUUCUUAGGUUAGCCAGUCUGGACCAUCCUGAACUACGAUGAACCAGCUCGUACCAGCCCCCAAUCUACUCACUUAGUGCCAAGCUUAAAGGUAUUUUCACACCCUCUUUUUUCCUCUCUGGUACUAACUGGUACCCUGUCUUGUAACUGAUAUGCGUACUGGCUGGUGUGCAGUACAGGACGUAUUGAACCUUAGCUUCAAAUUAUUUGAAUCAUCGGCAGAAAGUAUGGUUUGUGUUUUUUAAUCACCUCCUUUGUAAGUUCAAAAAAUUGAGGAGGCAUGAUUUUCAACUUGAGCUGUUUCAGUUACCGGCAUUGGUGGAAAACUGUGCAAGUCAGUGAUCCUAAGAAAUAAGGAGGAUUACAAUACUGGAUUUGUAUAGUGAGGAGUCGUAUUUACCUCUAUAUAAUUCAAAAGACAUGAAUAUGUAAUGUUGAAAGCACAUUUAUCCAUAUAGGUUUGGAGAUUGAUGGAAAAUUCCAUUACCGAUAACAUUGGACCAUCUGUUGAAUUUUGGUGGAGGAUUGUUAAUGUAACAGAGGAAACUUGUUAUUAAAUUUCAUGUUGAAGUUGUAGGAAUUGAAUGAAAUUUCAUGAGCAUUCAAACAGAAUAUGAGGAAACCUUUGUGAGAACUGAGAAUUGAUCAAAUGUCUCAAAUGUUUAAAAGGGGAGGGGCGGACCUAAGUUAUGGAAUCAUUGUUUAAAGGAUUGGACUGGUCGGUUGUGGUUGAGGAUAUAGCCCUUAAUAGGAACACUUGCUGAAGGACACAUAAAAUCAAAUCCUCAUUUGGGGUAAAGCUUAUUGUUGGAUGAACUUACUAUCCUUGGUUGAUUUCUUGUUGGAGUCUCUAAAUUAAGAAUUUUCCUUUAUAUCUGGUUUCGGUUGGUCUUUGUGUUUGUUAUGGUUUCUAUCUUGGUUUCAGGCAUUCGUAGCUUUGUUUAUACUUAUCUUUUUGUUGGAUAAUAUUUCUUCGAAAUAAGUUGGUUUUUAACUUAUUAUGUAAAUAAGUCAAAGUAUGUUAAAGGUCAAUACUGAAGGAAGCAGAACCUUAAGCAACUUUUAGAUACCAAAGAACAAUACAAAUGAAUAGGAAACUAUUUUAAGGAGAGGAUAUGAGUCAAAAAUUACCCCUAUCAAUAUUUUUUCUUAAUGAGAAGUACCACUUUGGAUGGAUGGAAUUGAAUGGAACUGGAUAAUUGUAUCUAGAAAGAAUCGCAUAAUGUUAACACCUUGUUCCAGCACAGCUAUCCCUCUAUCCACAAUAAACAUCUGAAAAGAUCUAUACAUGAUGGUCGACUCCAAAUUUUGCACUCCAUCCUUCAGCUACCUACAAUAGACAUCACUCAGCAUGCAUUUAUGAUUUCUGCCAUCCUUUUAUCCAAUAUUAACCUUACUCUAUCAAUCAAAUAGAAGAGGAGUCCUUGCACCUACUUUGUUUCCUCAUGUCUCGAGUUCUUUCCAAAAAACAACUGCCUGCACACCAUAUCCCUGCCAUCCAAUAGUUCACGAUUUUAGUAUCUGGCUGACAUGCAAUUUCCAGAAAUAUGCAUAAGCAAUUAUUCAACUGUCUCUGAAUUUUUUGUAGUAGUGACCUUGCCCAUUAUAAAGUUGACACCAUUCCCUUUUCCCUUUUGCCUCAUAAAUCAUUUUCUCCAAACUGCAGAUGUAUCAUAAUUGCUUUUAACAUUCUGACAUUUACCCCUUCCGCCUCUACAAUCACAUUUCAGCUUUUCCGCAUACUUUGUCAUUGUAGAUAAUCUUUGCAACUAUUUUACUGAAAUGCUUUAUCAUCCUGUAUGAUUCUUAAGUUCUUUUUCCUCUCUCCCUGCUUUAGUUAAACAUCAUGCCAUCUAACCUCAUGAUUGCUCCAAUUUCUUAUUAUUUUUUGAGUUUUCCAGGGAAAGCUGGCUGAGAUCCUCGUUAACAGGUUAUUCUCCCUUGACUUGCAUCCGUGAUAAAAGGGAAACAUUUAUAUCAGCCACAUUUAAACAGUUCUACAUUUCUGUGAGUAAACACAGAAAUAUCAAAUACAAUGUAGAAUUAGUUUAACAUGAUUUACUGCCAACGAAUUGAAUCCGUGGCUGACUCCCUACCAAAAUAUGCUAGCCAAUCUUUAACUUGUUUGGCUUCUCUGUUGACAUGCUCCACCUUGUUGUCCUUAAACUGUAGCAGCAAAUGGUUGAUGUCUUCUUUAACUGGAUUUUAAUGAGCUGAGCAGCUGUUGGACCUCACCCACUCAAGGUAUAUCAAUAAGAUCUUGAAUCUUCAUCAGUAGCUAAAGAUCAUUACUUCAGGAUGAUCUGCAUAUUUCUGAUCGACAUUUAAAUCUACAUAAUCCAGGCCUGAAAAAUGGGUUGGAUAUCAAUAAUAUUAAUAUAUGUAUCCAAUUUUAUUUGGCGAAUAUGAAUAUAGAUGCAGAGACUAAUUGGAUGCUAAACUUUGUAUUGAUAUUUGUUCUAAUGGAUGUUAAUAUGAUUGGGUAUUGACAGUACGGAUACAAAUGCAGGCAUAGUUGGAUAGUUAAACUCAAUGUAUAGAAUGUUAUUUGACUUUAUUUUUUGUUAACUCAAAAUAGGUACCUGAGCUUCCUAACUUCUAUUAUUAUUCUAAAACCAAAAUGAUCUGACAUAAGACCAAAAAAGAAGUAACUGCAUCCACUCAAUCACCUUUUUCUUUUGGUGGAUCCUAAUAUUCUGUUGAGUUACACACUUUGGAUUCAAAUACUGACCGUUAAGGAUGCAAUACACUAAUGCAUAGACAUAGCUAUUUGGGAAAAAGAAGUUUAAACAAUAGACAUGUUGAUGUUAUUACUUAUUCCUUUUGGAGUUCAUGAGAACUAUUUGAGGAGACUAAACAAGGAUGCAAACAAUUAUCAUGAGAGAUAGCAACUAGGAUAGGACAUUUGGAUACGGAUCAGAAAUUCAUGUAUCGAUAUUUGUAUCCAUUUUCUUUGACAAAUACAAAUAUAGAUCUGGAUAUUAGUCAGAUGUAAAAUUUGUGUCCAAAUCUGGAUAAAUUUAGAUAUGGAAAUAGAUCUGGAUGGAUAUUAUGUGAUCCAUUUUGCCUUAACAGGAUCACAAUCUCAUUUUUCAUGAUACAUUCUGCACUUCUAUGAAUACUAUUCGUACGAAUUUUGAAAAGAACAAGGGUAAAUCGGAUCUGUUAUUGUCGAGAUUGUGGCCAAAUACCUCUAGACUGUGGUUAGUGUCUAGAAUUGCAAAAGAUUAGUGAGAGUUCUUUUGAUGUAUGUUGUAGCUUUAUUGAGGUGAUGGAUUAUACCUUAUAUUGGCUAGUUUUAUCUUGAAUCCUGGAGUUGAUUUCUCUUGCCAAUGGUACUAUUUUGGCACAUUUUGGACAACUUGUAUGUUCUACUUUGAAAAUGCUGCAAAUUCCGCCCGCCAAUCUAGAAGAAGAGUGAAAGAAUUCCUAUUUCAAUGCCUUUUCUUGCUAUAUAUUGUUUGAGGUCAGUCCUAUGGCAUAAGAAAUUCCAGCAGCCUGGAUCUAGAUGUUGUGGGGACCGGUAAAAGAAUGGAAACCUAGUAAUAUAUGAUUGAUGGUAGUGAGUUGUACUUAAAAAUGCACAUUUUUGUCAUCAAGUUGGAUGUCCAUGAGCCAGUAUUUAUGAAUAAUGACAGAAGUUUGCCAUUAAUGCUACAGGAUUUUGAUAAUCUUGCAUUAUUUGGCAGCUUUAGGUAUGCAGCGUUGUGCCAAAAGACUUGCAUAAAUGUAAUUAAAUCGGAAUAGAUGAUUAUGUUCGUUUUGGGGGUUUGGAGAUUUUUUAAACAAAUUUUGAUUCCUUCACACUCUAGACAAAUUGAGGAUGAAUUUGUUUUCCAAGUUUGUCUGCUUAAGAAAAAAAAAAAUUUAGGUACUAGGAUUUCUGGGGACGUGGAAUUUUAGCUGAUUUUUUCCCUCUCAGAAAGAGGUGAUACCGUGACAGUGUAAUCUGGUCAAUCAGAAUUUUUUUAAUAAUUUAUUUUUUCUUUGAACUGAGUAAUUCACAGUAAAACAACUCCUUUGCUGAAAUCUAUCUCAUCUUAGGAUUAUUGGUGGCUAAAUUAUU
Molecule: non-coding RNA, 6025 nt
Organism: Phoenix dactylifera (date palm)
Lineage: Eukaryota; Viridiplantae; Streptophyta; Magnoliopsida; Arecales; Arecaceae
Source: RefSeq, a predicted model, not a curated record